UCCGGCUUAACGCCGGCAGUCUCGCUAGAGUCCUCAGCAUUACCUGUUAGUAACUAGCGACAAGGGUUUCGCUCGUUAAGGGACUUAACCCGACACUUCACAGCACGAGCUGACGACAGCCGUGCAACACCUGUGCAUGUUUCACCCUUGCGGGCAGAUUCUCAACUCAUCGCCGAGAAACAUCCAUGCAUGUCAAACCCGGGUAAGGUUCUUCGCGUUGCUUCGAAUUAAGCCACAUGCUCCACCGCUUGUGUGAGCCCCCGUCAAUUCCUUUGAGUUUUAGCCUUGCGGCCGUACUCCCCAGGCGGCACACUUAGCACUUUUGCUACGACGGCGGCACCGUCAGAGGUCCCGUCAUCUAGUGUGCAUCGUUUACGGCGUGGACUAC
RNAcentral lists this unclassified non-coding RNA (388 nucleotides) under uncultured Phycisphaerae bacterium. Its description in RNAcentral is "contains 16S-23S intergenic spacer region". Lineage: Bacteria; Pseudomonadati; Planctomycetota; Phycisphaerae. The record is from RNAcentral.